AUCGCACAUAUUAUUGAGACCAAUUAUCAACAUAGAAACUAGAAUAGAGUAGCAACAAUGACAACCAAGAUAUUUUCCCUCCUUAAGCUCCUUGCUCUUUCUGCAAGCGCUACUACCACGCCAUUUUCCUGCAAUGCUCACAAGCUCCUAUAGCUUCCCUUCUUCCCCCGUACCUUUCAUCAGUGAUGGCUUCAGUAUGUGAAAACCCAAUUCUUCAUCUCUAUAGGAUCCAACAGGCAAUUGCAGCAGGCAUCUUAACUUUAUCACCCUUGUUCCUCCAAUAACCGUCAGCCCUAUUACAACAGUUAUCUUUGGUGCAUUUGUUGGCACAAAGCAUCAGGGCACAAAAACUGCAUCAACUUGCGCUGGAAAACCUUACUGCCAACUCUCAGUAACAAAAGUUUAUUCCAUUCAACCAACUGGCUACAUUGAACUCUGUUGCUUAUUUGCAACAAUAACAACUACCAUUCAGCCAACUAGUUGUUGUGAGCCUGUUGCCUUCUUACAUAGCAGCAGUUGUUGCCGUUCUACCCGCACGAUGUGGCUAACACAACCACCCUCUUACAACUGCAACAAUUGCCGCCAUUCAACCAACUUGCGUUGACAAACCCAACAGCGUUCUACCUACAACCCAUCAUUGAUGGUGCCCUCUGUUAGAUUGCUUAUGAGUUAUAGUUCAAUAAUGAAGUUUUUUGGUUGAUGUUUGUGGCUUCCCAGAAAUAAUAAAGUACAUUU
RNA transcript from Zea mays, 735 nucleotides. It is a transcript of the gene named alpha zein pseudogene, with no coding region annotated. The record is from RefSeq and is marked validated. The transcript has a single exon. NCBI's taxonomy places the organism in Eukaryota, Viridiplantae, Streptophyta, Magnoliopsida, Poales, Poaceae.